Triticum aestivum (bread wheat) is the source of this 3169-nucleotide RNA transcript. It is a transcript of the gene named tyrosine--tRNA ligase 1, cytoplasmic, with no coding region annotated. The record is from RefSeq and is a predicted model, not a curated record. The transcript is spliced from 12 exons. NCBI's taxonomy places the organism in Eukaryota, Viridiplantae, Streptophyta, Magnoliopsida, Poales, Poaceae.
AGCCUGCAAAUGCCCUCCGGUUCUCUUCUCCAGCACUCCCUUGGCGCCGCCGCUGCCGCUUAGCUCUGCUACCGCCGCCCUCCGUCCCGACCGUUCCCCGUCUUCCUCUCGCCGGAGCACCUGCACCGCUGCCACCUCCUCCACCGGCCCAUCGGCGGUCGCCUGCGGCUCCUGAACUUCAAGCAGCAGCGUGCCGCCGCCCCUUCCCGGCUCCUCCAAGUCCCCAGCGAUGCCUCCCAACUCGCGGCCCCGUCUCCGCGUCGGUUUUGCCACCCGAAUGGCGAGGCAACAACGUAUGCUGGAGACAAACUCUACGGAGCAACCCUCCGAGACUGCCACCAUGGAUAGCUGCACUGAUGUGGCUGCCAGCAUCGACAGGGAUUCGGUGGAGUUGAGUUGCUAUGAGAGGAUUGCGGCCCUGGGGAGCAUCGGGGAUCAGUGCAUCUAUGCGGAUGAACUCCGGCUCCUGCUCCGGAAGAAGAAUGCUCCCAUUUGCUAUGUUUGGUUUGAGCCAACCCCCUGGAUGGACAUAACCCAGGGGCUUCUGAAGACAAUUUAUGUCAACAAGAUGCUCAAAGCUGGUUACAUAGUUAAAAUAUUGAUAGCAGAUUGGUUUGCCCAACGGAACCAUAGGAUUUGCAGCAAUAAAUAUGUAAUAAGGAAAAUUGGCUGCUACAAUAUUGAGAUGUGGAAAGCAGCUGGCAUGGAUCUUGACAGGGUAGAGCUUGUAUGGUUCUCAGAUGUGUUGGAAAGGCAUGCAUCUGAUUACUGGCCACUUGCCCUGGAUGUCUCCAAAAAAUGCACUCUAAAAAGAAUGGCAAGCUGUUGCACGGAAACAGCCCCAUAUGACCCGCGACUGCCUGCUGCUGUGAUAUUUUACCCAUGCAUGCAAGUUGCUGCUAUAUUAUGUCCGAAGUUGCAGGCGGAUAUAUGGCUCUUCAGCAUGGAUCAGCAAGAAAUUGUCAUGCUAACCAGAGAGUAUUGUGAAGACAUAAAAAGAGAAAGCAAACCAACUAUUAUGUUGCACAAUACACUACCUAAUUUAGUAGAUAAUCCUUAUAUUGUACUAAAGGACCCUUAUAACAUGAGGGAACCAAAAUGGAACAUCUUCAUGCAUGAUAAGGAGUGCGCUUUGAAUGAAAAAAUAAGCAGGGCUGUCUGUCCUCCAAAAGUAGCAGUAUGCAACCCAUGUUUGGAGUACAUCAAAUAUGUUAUCUUCCCUUGGUUUGGGAAGUUUGAGGUAGCGCAGAAGGAACAGAGUGGUGUUAACAAGCCAUUUGAAUGCAUGGAAGAUCUUAUUGUUGAUUAUGAAAGUGGCGAUCUUGAUCCUGUCGACGUUAAGUUGGCUUUUGAAAAAGGAAUAUGCAAAAUAUUAGAGGUAAUUAUUGCUUCCUUACGAGGUAGCAUCCUUGUGCCAGGUUCUCUCCUGGCGCCACCACUCUCCGUCGCUGCUGCAUUGGUCCAGGGAGGAGCAAUCUCCACUCCUGGUGGCGGCAUCGAUCUUUAUCUAGAUGUAGUGGUAGCUCGUUCCUUCUUGUCUCAUGUGGCCAUGCGUUCCUUUGGCGAGCUUCUCUCGUAUCCCUAUGGUAGCAGCAGCUUGUCUUCGUCUUCCUCGACAGCAAGGUCGUCUUCGCGGGCCAAACUGUCCGGGUGUGUAUCCUUUGUCCUCUCCUCAUUUCUGGCAUUGAUUUUGUUCGGACUUGAGCUCAUUAUCGCUGUCAAUCUCCAUCCUCGUCUGAUCUGGUCGACUUGGAGGCAUGGUUUGGCCAUCUGCAUCACCGUUCUGGCCGGAUCUGUUGAUGCCAGGUUGCAGCUUUCUAACUCGUCUGGACCGCGCUGCCCGGUAUCCUCUAGGUAACAGGCGGUCAUCUUCUUCUACUGCCACUUGUCGCUGGGCUACAUUAGCACGCCCUUGGGUGGUAGAAGCUACCCUGCAGGCUUGGCCCAUUGCAGCGGUAGCCCUUCCCGUCGUCGGCAGCUUCCCCAGAUCAGAGCUUGUUGCUGCUCUUUAUCCAGCGUCAUCGCCAGCCCGUGCAUAUCAAUAUAUCAUCACCAGCUCUGGAACCGUCCUGCUGAUGCUGGUGUGUCGCAGUCGCUGCCACACACAAGAGGAAGAGCUGACUGCAAGUUGCAACGCUAUCACUUGUACUGGGUGUCGGGCCUUGCUGCGAUGUUGAUGCUGGGUGAGGUUCUUCUGCACUGGGUCAUUUUUGCCAUGGUUCUACUGUCAUGUUUGCUCGAUGGUUUGUAGGGCUGGUUAUAUGUGUGCUGGUGUGCUGCUUCAGUUCUGCCUGCUCUUCUCCUCUGUUGUGCUGCAUGUUCGUCCAUAAUCACUGUUGCUGCAUCUUUGUGUCCAUUGCCAUCGUGUCCAUCAUCCAUCUGACUCCAUCCAAAUCAUCUCAUUUUGAAUCUGUCUGCAUGGUGGGGAAUUCAUCCAUUUCACCGUAAAUCAUUUAGUCGCUUUUUUGGGGGUUUCCCAUGGUCUUUUCAAUUGAAUCGAGCUCGGUGCCCCUAAUUGUUGUUGAUGUGACUUUGCCCUCUCGAUCCUUUCUGUAGCCUUUUUUGUGACCUGACAUUGUCCGUCGCCUUCUUACUGGUCACUUGUUGCUACUUCCGACAUAUCGCUUCCUUAUCACCAUCUGCACAACUUGGCCAGAUUGUCCCUUUCAUCUUGGUCAGGAGCACCUUCGUUGGCUAAAUUAAGCAGAUAUUUAUUCUUGUUGGUUUCCAACAUCUCCAACCAAGAUGUCUGAUGAACAAUCUGUGAAAGCUUUGGAUUACCAUUUUGGAGGAGUUGGUACAUCGGAAUAUUAAGGGUAUAAGUGGGUGGCACCUCUAAUGUGUAAGGCAUGUUGGUACCUGCCUGAACAGCAACGCUGAAGCCCAAGCUCUAAUUAUCGACCUUAUGGGUCAUAUCAGGCGAAUGGAGUCCGUAGAUAUCCAUGAGUUUCACUGGUAGAACAGAAAUUAUCUGAUCCUGUGGUGUCGCGGCGUUGUGCAGUCUUGGUUGCAUCACUUGUGUUGUGGUGACGUCUCGGCCUCACAUGACUUUUUGAAUGUACAUAUUUACUCUGGGUAACAACGGGAUCUCGCUUUAGUAGUAUUAACCAGUACAUAUGUUUACUUAGCCAUGUACUAAGUAUGAUAUCAUAAAGAAUAUAACCUUAUA